RNAcentral lists this ribosomal RNA (222 nucleotides) under uncultured bacterium. RNAcentral describes it as "partial 16S ribosomal RNA". It matches the Rfam family "Bacterial small subunit ribosomal RNA", at positions 131 to 354 of the family's 1533-position model. The record is from RNAcentral.
CUACACGGAGGGAUAACUAUAAGAAGUAGGCGAUAAACCGCAUAAGCGCACAGCUUCGCAUGAAGCGGUGUGAAAAACUCUGGUGGUAUACGAUGGUUCCGCGUCUGAUUAGCUAGUUGGUGGGGUAAUGGCCUACCAAGGCAACGAUCAGUAGCCGGCCUGAGAGGGUGAACGGCCACAUUGGGACUGAGACACGGCCCAAACUCCUACGGGAGGCAGCAG